AGAGUUUGAUCCUGGCUCAGGACGAACGCUGGCGGCGUGCCUAAUACAUGCAAGUAGAACGCUGAAGAGAGGAGCUUGCUCUUCUUGGAUGAGUUGCGAACGGGUGAGUAACGCGUAGGUAACCUGCCUUGUGGCGGGGGAUAACUAUUGGAAACGAUAGCUAAUACCGCAUAACAAUGGAUGACACAUGUUAUUUAUUUGAAAGGGGCAAUUGUUCCACUACAAGAUGGACCUGCGUUGUAUUAGCUAGUAGGUGAGGUAAUGGCUCACCUAGGCGACGAUACAUAGCCGACCUGAGAGGGUGAUCGGCCACACUGGGACUGAGACACGGCCCAGACUCCUACGGGAGGCAGCAGUAGGGAAUCUUCGGCAAUGGGGGCAACCCUGACCGAGCAACGCCGCGUGAGUGAAGAAGGUUUUCGGAUCGUAAAGCUCUGUUGUAAGUCAAGAACGGGUGUGAGAGUGGAAAGUUCACACUGUGACGGUAGCUUACCAGAAAGGGACGGCUAACUACGUGCCAGCAGCCGCGGUAAUACGUAGGUCCCGAGCGUUGUCCGGAUUUAUUGGGCGUAAAGCGAGCGCAGGCGGUUUGAUAAGUCUGAAGUUAAAGGCUGUGGCUCAACCAUAGUUCGCUUUGGAAACUGUCAAACUUGAGUGCAGAAGGGGAGAGUGGAAUUCCAUGUGUAGCGGUGAAAUGCGUAGAUAUAUGGAGGAACACCGGUGGCGAAAGCGGCUCUCUGGUCUGUAACUGACGCUGAGGCUCGAAAGCGUGGGGAGCGAACAGGAUUAGAUACCCUGGUAGUCCACGCCGUAAACGAUGAGUGCUAGGUGUUGGAUCCUUUCCGGGAUUCAGUGCCGCAGCUAACGCAUUAAGCACUCCGCCUGGGGAGUACGACCGCAAGGUUGAAACUCAAAGGAAUUGACGGGGGCCCGCACAAGCGGUGGAGCAUGUGGUUUAAUUCGAAGCAACGCGAAGAACCUUACCAGGUCUUGACAUCCCGAUGCUAUUUCUAGAGAUAGAAGGUUACUUCGGUACAUCGGUGACAGGUGGUGCAUGGUUGUCGUCAGCUCGUGUCGUGAGAUGUUGGGUUAAGUCCCGCAACGAGCGCAACCCCUAUUGUUAGUUGCCAUCAUUCAGUUGGGCACUCUAGCGAGACUGCCGGUAAUAAACCGGAGGAAGGUGGGGAUGACGUCAAAUCAUCAUGCCCCUUAUGACCUGGGCUACACACGUGCUACAAUGGUUGGUACAACGAGUUGCGAGUCGGUGACGGCGAGCUAAUCUCUUAAAGCCAAUCUCAGUUCGGAUUGUAGGCUGCAACUCGCCUACAUGAAGUCGGAAUCGCUAGUAAUCGCGGAUCAGCACGCCGCGGUGAAUACGUUCCCGGGCCUUGUACACACCGCCCGUCACACCACGAGAGUUUGUAACACCCGAAGUCGGUGAGGUAACCUUUUGGAGCCAGCCGCCUAAGGUGGGACAGAUGAUUGGGGUGAAGUCGUAACAAGGUA
Molecule: ribosomal RNA, 1506 nt
Filed under: metagenome
Description: bacterial SSU rRNA
Rfam family: Bacterial small subunit ribosomal RNA
Source: RNAcentral